UAGGAAAGUAUAAAGAUUGAAUUAAUACUCAAAAAAUUGUUAUAUCUUAAUGUAUCUGCUCAUAUAGAAGCUAGGCUUGGUAGGCGACAGGAUUCAGAAUGUCAUGAUUUGCAAGCGUUUCUGAUCCAGUUGUUUUAUUAUCGCAUUUCAUUAGUCUUUUACAUGUUGUUAUUAGUUCAUCACUUCACCACUUGUCUGUUCCAAUCACACAGCUCCACAUUCUGCGAUGUUACAUGAAUGCUUUAUAUGGCUUGUUCGUUAUUCUCUUAGAGGCUGCAUUGUGUGCUUACCCCUGUUUUUAACUCCAACGAUGAUUUUUGCAUUGUUUUUUCACCUCUAUGAUUUUUCCCAUAUGUUUUCAAACUAGAGCUUCUCAUGUUUCGCUCUCACACCAUUAAGUGGAGUUCAUAGUGGUGAAAAUUCAUGUAAAAACAAGUGGAAAAGCAUUGUCUGUUAAAAUUCAUGGUGAGAGGAUUGUGAGACAAAAGUAUAAGAUGAGACUAUUGUAAUAGUAUAAGGUUAAGAUGUCACUUUGGUCAAUAUAAUUGGAUAAUUUAUGGGACAUCAUGUCUAGUCCAUAUACAUCUUGUGCCUGACCUCCAGUAACCCCAUGAGCACAUC
This 621-nucleotide long non-coding RNA is filed under the name Oryza brachyantha (malo sina). RNAcentral describes it as "long non-coding RNA (OBRA_LNC002459)". The record is from RNAcentral. Lineage: Eukaryota; Viridiplantae; Streptophyta; Magnoliopsida; Poales; Poaceae.